GUUUAGACCGUCGUGAGACAGGUUAGUUUUACCCUACUGACGACCAUAGAAGAAAUGUUGUUGCGAUAGUAAUCCUGCGAAGUACGAGAGGAACCGCAGGUUCGGACAGUUGGUUGGCGCACUUGGUCGAGCGGCCAGUGGUGUGAGGCUACGUCCGGAUGAUUAUACCUGAAGGCCUCUGAAGGUAGAAUCGAUGCUGGAGGAAGGCAAUGAUACGCCGCGUCUUUUGACUCGUUUCGACGUUUUAUCUGGGUGGCUAUAACGAGACCCGUCUCGGUUAGAGAUUAAAACUCGCUCCAUCAGCGAGGGGGUUCCGGCCUUUUCGUUUCGUUUCGGACGAAUGCCUGGUCGGCGCUUCAUUCUCGAGCCGCGGUUUUCAGAGGGGAGGUUUGCCGACGGCUAUGCUGGGUGUCCGCCACGGGAGUGCCAGUCAUGCUCCGGUACGCUUCUUUCCUUUUUACCCGACUAAAG
This 471-nucleotide ribosomal RNA is filed under the name Daphnia ambigua. RNAcentral describes it as "eukaryotic LSU rRNA". The stretch from base 1 to 412 matches the Rfam family "Eukaryotic large subunit ribosomal RNA", at positions 2961 to 3401 of the family's 3401-position model. Lineage: Eukaryota; Metazoa; Arthropoda; Branchiopoda; Diplostraca; Daphniidae. The record is from RNAcentral.